Molecule: ribosomal RNA, 1554 nt
Filed under: Escherichia coli O104:H4
Lineage: Bacteria; Pseudomonadati; Pseudomonadota; Gammaproteobacteria; Enterobacterales; Enterobacteriaceae
Also listed under: 1 other name
Description: bacterial SSU rRNA
Rfam family: Bacterial small subunit ribosomal RNA
Source: RNAcentral
AAAUUGAAGAGUUUGAUCAUGGCUCAGAUUGAACGCUGGCGGCAGGCCUAACACAUGCAAGUCGAACGGUAACAGGAAACAGCUUGCUGUUUCGCUGACGAGUGGCGGACGGGUGAGUAAUGUCUGGGAAACUGCCUGAUGGGGGGGGAUAACUACUGGAAACGGUAGCUAAUACCGCAUAACGUCGCAAGACCAAAGAGGGGGACCUUCGGGCCUCUUGCCAUCGGAUGUGCCCAGAUGGGAUUAGCUUGUUGGUGGGGUAACGGCUCACCAAGGCGACGAUCCCUAGCUGGUCUGAGAGGAUGACCAGCCACACUGGAACUGAGACACGGUCCAGACUCCUACGGGAGGCAGCAGUGGGGAAUAUUGCACAAUGGGCGCAAGCCUGAUGCAGCCAUGCCGCGUGUAUGAAGAAGGCCUUCGGGUUGUAAAGUACUUUCAGCGGGGAGGAAGGGAGUAAAGUUAAUACCUUUACUCAUUGACGUUACCCGCAGAAGAAGCACCGGCUAACUCCGUGCCAGCAGCCGCGGUAAUACGGAGGGUGCAAGCGUUAAUCGGAAUUACUGGGCGUAAAGCGCACGCAGGCGGUUUGUUAAGUCAGAUGUGAAAUCCCCGGGCUCAACCUGGGAACUGCAUCUGAUACUGGCAAGCUUGAGUCUCGUAGAGGGGGGUAGAAUUCCAGGUGUAGCGGUGAAAUGCGUAGAGAUCUGGAGGAAUACCGGUGGCGAAGGCGGCCCCCUGGACGAAGACUGACGCUCAGGUGCGAAAGCGUGGGGAGCAAACAGGAUUAGAUACCCUGGUAGUCCACGCCGUAAACGAUGUCGACUUGGAGGUUGUGCCCUUGAGGCGUGGCUUCCGGAGCUAACGCGUUAAGUCGACCGCCUGGGGAGUACGGCCGCAAGGUUAAAACUCAAAUGAAUUGACGGGGGCCCGCACAAGCGGUGGAGCAUGUGGUUUAAUUCGAUGCAACGCGAAGAACCUUACCUGGUCUUGACAUCCACGGAAGUUUUCAGAGAUGAGAAUGUGCCUUCGGGAACCGUGAGACAGGUGCUGCAUGGCUGUCGUCAGCUCGUGUUGUGAAAUGUUGGGUUAAGUCCCGCAACGAGCGCAACCCUUAUCCUUUGUUGCCAGCGGUCCGGCCGGGAACUCAAAGGAGACUGCCAGUGAUAAACUGGAGGAAGGUGGGGAUGACGUCAAGUCAUCAUGGCCCUUACGACCAGGGCUACACACGUGCUACAAUGGCGCAUACAAAGAGAAGCGACCUCGCGAGAGCAAGCGGACCUCAUAAAGUGCGUCGUAGUCCGGAUUGGAGUCUGCAACUCGACUCCAUGAAGUCGGAAUCGCUAGUAAUCGUGGAUCAGAAUGCCACGGUGAAUACGUUCCCGGGCCUUGUACACACCGCCCGUCACACCAUGGGAGUGGGUUGCAAAAGAAGUAGGUAGCUUAACCUUCGGGAGGGCGCUUACCACUUUGUGAUUCAUGACUGGGGUGAAGUCGUAACAAGGUAACCGUAGGGGAACCUGCGGUUGGAUCACCUCCUUACCUUAAAGAAGC